Molecule: ribosomal RNA, 547 nt
Filed under: uncultured bacterium
Lineage: Bacteria
Description: partial 16S ribosomal RNA
Rfam family: Bacterial small subunit ribosomal RNA
Source: RNAcentral
UGGGGAAUAUUGGACAAUGGGCGAAAGCCUGAUCCAGCAAUGCCGCGUGAGUGAUGAAGGCCUUAGGGUUGUAAAGCUCUUUUACCCGGGAUGAUAAUGACAGUACCGGGAGAAUAAGCUCCGGCUAACUUCGCGCCAGCAGCCGCGGUAAUACGAGGGGAGCUAGCGUUGUUCGGAAUUACUGGGCGUAAAGCGCGCGUAGGCGGUUUUUUAAGUCAGAGGUGAAAGCCCGGGGCUCAACCCCGGAAUAGCCUUUGAAACUGGAAAACUAGAAUCUUGGAGAGGUCAGUGGAAUUCCGAGUGUAGAGGUGAAAUUCGUAGAUAUUCGGAAGAACACCAGUGGCGAAGGCGACUGACUGGACAAGUAUUGACGCUGAGGUGCGAAAGCGUGGGGAGCAAAACAGGAUUAGAUACCCUGGUAGUCCACGCCGUAAAACGAUGAUAAACUAGCUGUCCGGGCUCAUAGAGCUUGGGUGGCGCAGCUAACGCAUUAAGUUAUCCGCCUGGGGAGUACGGUCGCAAGAUUAAAAACUCAAAAGGAAUUGAC